RNAcentral lists this ribosomal RNA (1372 nucleotides) under uncultured bacterium. RNAcentral describes it as "bacterial SSU rRNA". It matches the Rfam family "Bacterial small subunit ribosomal RNA", at positions 28 to 1381 of the family's 1533-position model. The record is from RNAcentral.
GAUGAACGCUGGCGGCGUGCCUAAUACAUGCAAGUCGAGCGAACGGACGAGAAGCUUGCUUCUCUGAUGUUAGCGGCGGACGGGUGAGUAACACGUGGAUAACCUACCUAUAAGACUGGGAUAACUUCGGGAAACCGGAGCUAAUACCGGAUAAUAUUUUGAACCGCAUGGUUCAAAAGUGAAAGACGGUCUUGCUGUCACUUAUAGAUGGAUCCGCGCUGCAUUAGCUAGUUGGUAAGGUAACGGCUUACCAAGGCAACGAUGCAUAGCCGACCUGAGAGGGUGAUCGGCCACACUGGAACUGAGACACGGUCCAGACUCCUACGGGAGGCAGCAGUAGGGAAUCUUCCGCAAUGGGCGAAAGCCUGACGGAGCAACGCCGCGUGAGUGGUGAAGGUCUUCGGAUCGUAAAACUCUGUUAUUAGGGAAGAACAUAUGUGUAAGUAACUGUGCACAUCUUGACGGUACCUAAUCAGAAAGCCACGGCUAACUACGUGCCAGCAGCCGCGGUAAUACGUAGGUGGCAAGCGUUAUCCGGAAUUAUUGGGCGUAAAGCGCGCGUAGGCGGUUUUUUAAGUCUGAUGUGAAAGCCCACGGCUCAACCGUGGAGGGUCAUUGGAAACUGGAAAACUUGAGUGCAGAAGAGGAAAGUGGAAUUCCAUGUGUAGCGGUGAAAUGCGCAGAGAUAUGGAGGAACACCAGUGGCGAAGGCGACUUUCUGGUCUGUAACUGACGCUGAUGUGCGAAAGCGUGGGGAUCAAACAGGAUUAGAUACCCUGGUAGUCCACGCCGUAAACGAUGAGUGCUAAGUGUUAGGGGGUUUCCGCCCCUUAGUGCUGCAGCUAACGCAUUAAGCACUCCGCCUAGGGAGUACGACCGCAAGGUUGAAACUCAAAGGAAUUGACGGGGACCCGCACAAGCGGUGGAGCAUGUGGUUUAAUUCGAAGCAACGCGAAGAACCUUACCAAAUCUUGACAUCCUUUGACAACUCUAGAGAUAGAGCCUUCCCCUUCGGGGGACAAAGUGACAGGUGGUGCAUGGUUGUCGUCAGCUCGUGUCGUGAGAUGUUGGGUUAAGUCCCGCAACGAGCGCAACCCUUAAGCUUAGUUGCCAUCAUUAAGUUGGGCACUCUAAGUUGACUGCCGGUGACAAACCGGAGGAAGGUGGGGAUGACGUCAAAUCAUCAUGCCCCUUAUGAUUUGGGCUACACACGUGCUACAAUGGACAAUACAAAGGGCAGCGAAACCGCGAGGUCAAGCAAAUCCCAUAAAGUUGUUCUCAGUUCGGAUUGUAGUCUGCAACUCGACUACAUGAAGCUGGAAUCGCUGGUAAUCGUAGAUCAGCAUGCUACGGUGAAUACGUUCCCGGGUCU